AAAGUAGGCAUGUAGAUUACUAAAGGUUACAAUCCUAGGGAACAUUUUAAAAUUGUAUACCAGCAGUUUAUAAGUUAAAGACUUGAAUAAGUGUAUUUCUUGGGAAAAAUAAUACUUAAUUUUUACAAGUGAGACAAUUUAGUUGGAAAAUACUUGUGUUCAAUUCUUGAGCUAGUUGGAUUCUCUCUUUGCAGAUUUGAGAAGUAGACCAUGAUGACUGAUGUGAACUUCUAAAGGACAGACCAGAGCAGGCAACAUUCCCUAUAUCACAUUUGCUAACUGAAAAUGAAAGAAGAAACAAAAUGUGUCCCUGAUGUUUGAAAAGAGAUAAUGAAGUCACCAACAAGUACAGAGGUAAUAAUUUGAUAUCUAGAAAUACAUAAAACAAUACCAUAAUCUUUAUGAGUAUUAAAUGAAAGUACUAGAUUUCAAAUAAAUUUCUUAUCAAUAUUCCUGAUGCAGAACAGUCAUUCAGAAUGG
This 480-nucleotide long non-coding RNA is filed under the name Chinchilla lanigera (long-tailed chinchilla). RNAcentral describes it as "lncRNA (ENSCLAG00000022932.1)". The record is from RNAcentral. Lineage: Eukaryota; Metazoa; Chordata; Mammalia; Rodentia; Chinchillidae.